UUUCGCUUUACGCGCCUCGCGCGCCCCGUAGCUCGCGCAGCAGCUGCAGCUGGGCACGGCAGUCCCCUCUGCUUACGAUGGAGAUGCGUUACGACUACCCCAUCGUAAGUCGAAAAAGAUCGUAAGUCCAAGAUGGCCCAGCCUACCCAGGAGUCUUAAAGAACGGUGAUAAUUUAGCAAAACAGAGCAAUUUACAAUACCGUACUGUAUAAACGAUAUAAUGUAUGUAUUUAUUAAUUACAAUACCGUAUUGCACCGUAGAAUGUCAAGUAAAAAAACAACAAGGUAAAUUCUUAGCCUACCUGUAUGAACUGCAAUUUAAUAGAAAGUUUUUUCAGGAAACAAUCCCAUCUGCUGUAGAAACUUUUAACAUGCAUUGAAUCGUGGUAACCCUAAAAUGAAAUCGCUAAAGCUACGUAUCGUACAUGCAUUGAACGUAUCGUAGCGUAUCAUAUUGUACUGUAGUCACCAAGAUUCUGAAACACAAAAACACAGAAAAAAAUACACGCGCUAACACCGUCCACCGCUGGUGAGAGUGAGGAGGCAUCACACAAGGCGGGGGAUGCCGUACACUCCGGCAGCAAUUUUGUCGCAUCGUAAGAUCAAAAUAUCGUAAGUCGGACUAUCGUAACUCGGGGACUAUCUGUACUUGUGUUUUUAAAUCCUUUAUAUUAAGUUCACUUGCUUGCUUGCGUGCUUGCUUACGACCGUGCAAACCUUUCGGUCGUUUUUAAACCCACUUCCCGUGAUCCAAUCGAGCUGACAUUUUCCACACAGACUCGUUGUGCGAGAUAAUUAUUGUUCGUGAAAACAUUUUUCAAAAAUGUUACACUGUUUAGGGAAAACAAUUUAAAUAUUUAAUUACCAAUUGCUUAAUACUGGCAGACAAUCAUCUGACCCAUAGGUGGCAGCCAUCUCAAGGCAGAGGACGAGAGGACUCUAGCCGCCACGCAUAUAAAGGAUUUAGAGUGAAAAACUUUGUUUUUACGGGUUAUACUUAUUUUGGUGUCUAUCCGUACACAAUGUCUCCUAAGAAAGUUGGUGGUAGCGAGAAGCCGAAAAGGAAAGUUGUGAGAACCACGAUAGAAUUAAGAAAAGAGAUCAUUGCAAAGGCAGAGCGAGGUGUACGUGUGACCCAGAUCUCCAAACAGUACGGUAUGCCGAAAUCGACGAUUUGCACGAUGCUGAAAAAUAAAGAAGCCAUCAAAGAGGCUAAUGUGGCAAAAGGAGUGUCAUCUCUAUCCAAGCAAAGAACGAAGGCGAUCGAGGAGGUUGAGAAAGUGCUGUUGAUGUGGAUCAACGAAAAGGAGUUGGCGGGCGAUAGCAUUUCAGAGGCUGUGAUAUGUGAGAAGGCCAAACAGUUGCAUUCCGACAUCCUCCAAAACACCCCAGGAACGAGUGACGAUGCGGGUCCUGGUGAAAUGUUCAAGGCUAGCCGAGGAUGGUUUGAUAAUUUUAAAAAGAGAAGUGGCAUACAGAGCGUCGUUAGGCACGUCGGGGAGGGUGUCUGUGCCCGUAGAGAAGGUGGCAAGAAUUUUGUUGGGGAAUUUCAAGAGUUUGUCGUGAAGGCCGAGGGCUUUCUUCCUCCUCAACACCUUCCACUCAAGUCAUUGGCUCUCCUCACUACAGGAACUCGCGCGGUCGAAAAGGGACCGUUUUCCGACGCCGACGCCAACGCGGUGCAAGCGCUGAACCGCCGAAAAAUCCCUCCCCCGGCCAGCCACGUGCUCAGCCCCCCCCCUCCCCCA
Lethenteron reissneri (Far Eastern brook lamprey) is the source of this 1748-nucleotide long non-coding RNA. RefSeq lists it as uncharacterized. NCBI's taxonomy places the organism in Eukaryota, Metazoa, Chordata, Hyperoartia, Petromyzontiformes, Petromyzontidae. The record is from RefSeq and is a predicted model, not a curated record.